UUACUUUCCUGGCAAGGGAGUCUUAGCUAUGAUUACUCAGGUGGCUCUCCAGGGCGAGGCUGGUUCAUUGCACUACGAGUCUGCUGACCUCUGCGUUUUCCCCUCAUGUGGGAAACUUGUCUGCACAAUUUAUGGUAGUGGGGCACUGUGUGCGCGUUUUCCCCUG
Bombina bombina (fire-bellied toad) is the source of this 166-nucleotide small nuclear RNA. RefSeq annotates it as U1 spliceosomal RNA. Lineage: Eukaryota; Metazoa; Chordata; Amphibia; Anura; Bombinatoridae. The record is from RefSeq and is a predicted model, not a curated record. The transcript has a single exon.